GGGGGCGAUCGGUUUCGACGAGGAUGUUGAAGCCCUGACUGCAUGUCGCGGUUUUCGGUCAGCGCGUUAGAAAGGCCGAAGGCUACAAUUGCCAACGAUGACAUGGAGCUUGCCCUCGCCGCGUAAAACCGGUUGAGGGUCGUCCGCCCGGUCAGUGCUCACGGGGCCGGUGCGGGCGUAACGCCAGUGAGCUGGUCGAGGGUCGCUGCUCAAUGCCGCCCGAGACGAGACUUGAAUUGAGCUCCCCCGAGCGAGAGCCUGCCUGUGGGCGAGCGCGCGGGGUAAAACAAAUCACGGGACAAGCAUGUAGACGUCAGGUUCGUGGAUCGUUUUCGGACCCGGGUUCGAUUCCCGGCGCCUCCACCC
Molecule: transfer-messenger RNA, 366 nt
Filed under: Myxococcales bacterium
Lineage: Bacteria; Pseudomonadati; Myxococcota; Myxococcia; Myxococcales
Also listed under: 1 other name
Rfam family: transfer-messenger RNA
About the family: Bacterial tmRNA, also known as 10Sa RNA or SsrA, is named for its dual tRNA and mRNA-like properties.
Source: RNAcentral